This 1675-nucleotide long non-coding RNA is filed under the name Eucalyptus grandis. Its description in RNAcentral is "long non-coding RNA (EGRA_LNC002748)". The record is from RNAcentral. Lineage: Eukaryota; Viridiplantae; Streptophyta; Magnoliopsida; Myrtales; Myrtaceae.
GUUCCUCUGCCCAUCCCGACGCCGGAUCUGCUCCCUCUCGACCCCAAAGCAGUGGCUGGAAAAAAAUGGGUAUGCAGCGGACGUUUGGCUCGUUUUGGCCGCCUUCCCGAGCCCGGAUGCUCGGCCCGCCUUGAGGAAAGUCGAUCCUCGCGUUGUCCUCGUCGUUUUGGUUCGCUCGGUUCGCUAAUCCGGUGAGUUUAACUCACUAAACCUUGCUUAGAGGGUUAAUGAUGCUUUAGGUGUGUUUAGUUUAUGUUAAGUGUUAUUAGGUGGUUAGUUUAAUUUAUUUAAGUGUAGAUUAUAUUAAUGUGCUUGAUUAAUUUAAAUUGUGUUUAAUUUAAAGUUAAGUGGGUGUUUAUAUUAAUAUAAACAUUGAUGUGACAUAAAGGAAUUUACUUUUGAUUUAUUUAAAUAUCCCGAAAUCAUUAAAUAAUUUAAUAAUAUAUUAUUAUUCGAAAUUAUUAAAAUAUUAUUAUUUAAUUAUUUUCGGAAUAAAUUUAAUUAUUUAUUAAAUUCCGAAAAUUUUGGUCGGGACCCUAAAUUCUCAGAAUUUCGUGCCGGUCGCUACGGUACAUUCGGAUUUUGAAAUUGAUGAUUGGAUAUUAUAAAUUGAGUGUGGAUUUCGAAAACUAUGGAUAUUAUUAUUUAAUUAUUUUCGGAAUAAAUUUAAUUAUUUAUUAAAUUCCGAAAAUUUUCAUUGGGACCUUAUUUGCUCAGAAUUUCGUGCCGAUCGUUGCUGUGCAUUUAGAAUUUGAAAUUGAUGAUUGGUUGUGAUGAAUUGAGUGUGAUUGUGAUUUAUAGGGAUUCUUUAUGAAAUCCUAAGUGUAGAAAUUGAUGGGAGAUUGGCUGUGAUUGACCACCUACUAGAGGUCGUGCCCAGAGAGGCCGUGAUAAACCACCUUGGAAAGGUCGUGCCCGAUGAGGCCGUGAAAAACCACCUACAAGAGGUCGUGCCCGAUGAGGCCGUGAUAAACCACCUAUGAAAGGUCGUGCCCAGAGAGGCCGUGAUAAACCACCUCUGAGAGGUCGUGCCCAGAGAGGCCGUGAUAAACCACCUCUGAGAGGUCGUGCCCAGAGAGGCCGUGAUAAACCACCUAUGAAAGGUCGUGCCCAGAGAGGCCGUGAUAAACCACCUCUGAGAGGUCGUGCCCAGAGAGGCCGUGAUAAACCACCUCUGAGAGGUCGUGCCCAGAGAGGCCGUGAUAAACCACCUUGGAAAGGUCGUGCCCGAUGAGGCCGUGAAAAACCACCUACAAGAGGUCGUGCCCAGUGGGGCCGUGAAUUGCCACCUGUUAAAGGUCGCGCCGAGUGGGGCCGUGAUGCCACUGAUUUAAAUUUGCCGAGUAGGGCCGUAGUUGAGAGCAAUGAUUGAUUUGCUAGAAUGACAUGUAAUCGGCCGAGUCGAUUGAUCGCUGAGACGAUCCAAGUGGUUGAAUGGUUUGAUAAUGUGAUUGUGCCAUGGUUGUUUGGUUAUCAUAAUUGUACGUGGUUGGAUUAUAUAAAUUGUGCUAACCUGCAGAUGAAGGCUGAGGCGAGGUAAGUCUUCUGUGUGAUGUGGCUAGGCCACCCGGGGCGUAUUUUCUUUCUAAUAGGGGUUUAGGGGGUUGAACUUGCUGAGACAUCGUCUCAUCCCGGUUGUGGGAUUAAAAUUUCAGGUCCCUGGUGGACGGAGCGA